CCUACGGGAGGCAGCAGUGAGGAAUAUUGGUCAAUGGGCGGGAGCCUGAACCAGCAAAGCCGCGUGAGGGAAGAAGGCCUUACGGAUUGUAAACCUCUUUUGCCGGGGAGCAACGGGGUCCUUGCGAGGGCCCGAUGAGAGUACCCGGAGAAAAAGCAUCGGCUAACUCCGUGCCAGUAGCCGCGGUAACACGGAGGAUGCGAGCGUUAUCCGGAUUUAUUGGGGUUAAUGGGUGCGUAGGCGGGCUGUUAAGUCAGCGGUAAAAUGUUGGGGCUAAAACCCGGACUGCCGUUGAAACUGGCGGCCUCGAGUGGGCGAGAAGUAUGCGGAAUGCGUGGUGUAGCGGUGAAAUGCGUAGAUAUCACGAAGAACUCCGAUUGCGAAGGCAGCAUACCGGCGCCCGACUGACGCUGAGGCACGAAAGCGUGGGUAUCGAACAGGAUUAGAUACCCUAGUAGUC
RNAcentral lists this ribosomal RNA (460 nucleotides) under uncultured bacterium. RNAcentral's name for it is "partial 16S ribosomal RNA". It matches the Rfam family "Bacterial small subunit ribosomal RNA", at positions 338 to 795 of the family's 1533-position model. The record is from RNAcentral.